This is a long non-coding RNA of Neopelma chrysocephalum (saffron-crested tyrant-manakin), 208 nucleotides long. RefSeq lists it as uncharacterized. The record is from RefSeq and is a predicted model, not a curated record. The transcript has 3 exons. Lineage: Eukaryota; Metazoa; Chordata; Aves; Passeriformes; Pipridae.
CUAUCCAUGUUCAGAUAUUGGACUUUGCCUAAUUAGCUCAUGUGUGUUUUUCAGUGUGCUGGUUGCAGAAUGAAUAUUUUAACCUGCUGACCCACUUAGAAGAGUUCUGGAUGCCUAGAUAAAGGUCAGAGGGGGCAUGACUCACCUGUGAGGAGUGUGUUGUCACCACCAGCUCUGGGCAGGACAGUCCCACCUGUGGUGUCCCAAU